Molecule: ribosomal RNA, 869 nt
Filed under: Atypoides riversi
Lineage: Eukaryota; Metazoa; Arthropoda; Arachnida; Araneae; Antrodiaetidae
Description: partial 28S ribosomal RNA
Rfam family: Eukaryotic large subunit ribosomal RNA
Source: RNAcentral
UUUGAAGAGAGAGUUCAAGAGUACGUGAAACUGCUGAGAGGCAAACUGGUGGGCCCUCGAAAUCCCGUUUGCGGGGAGAUUCAGUCGGGUGUCGGCGGCCGUCUCUAAAAUGGGUCUGUCGCAACCGAAGAUCGGGGCACAUUCCGAGGGACGAGUUCCGCUGGAACCCGACGCAUUUCCCGCCCGCACGAAAGGAACGCCGCAGCCGGUCGGGUAGCUGCGCGUGUCGGCCAUGAGGACGUUGCAACGGCAGGUGACCGGCGGCCCUAGGCUUCUUCUCCGGAGGCACUAACGGUCGACGGUUGAUUAGCCGGCUCGUCCGUGGCGCGACACCCGACCGAGGUAAAGAGAGAGACAGAGACGGGGAUACGUCUCCACGGAGACGUCCCCGUCUGCAAUCCACUACUUUCAAACGAGAGAGCGAGCCGUCGGACAGGCGCGUUCCUGCGUGGUCGGACAGUCACCGCACUGGUCGAUCUGGUGGGAGCGCGUCGAUCGUACCGAGUCAGGAUCUCGCGGAGGAUGAAGGCUGGCGGCGAGUAGGUCGGUAACCCACCCGACCCGUCUUGAAACACGGACCAAGGAGUCUAACAUGUGCGCAAGUCGCGGGGUCUUGUUCAGGCCCAAAGGCGAAAUGAAAGUGAAGGCCGCCGCUUCCCCUUAUUCAGUUAGGGGCGGAGUGAGGCGGCCAGGUCGGGACUCGCACGUGACACGGGACGUGACGAAGCACCGACGACCCGCCCUGUUCUAUCUUCUCGAUAGGAACUCAAACGGAGUUUGAGCGCACACGUUGGGACCCGAAAGAUGGUGAACUAUGCCUGGGCAGGACGAAGCCAGAGGAAACUCUGGUGGAGGUCCGCAGCGGUUCU